AGUAGAAUGGCUGAGAGUAAGUAAAAGAUUGUAAAUCUUUUUAGGGGUUGUUCCCUUCUACUA
RNAcentral lists this transfer RNA (63 nucleotides) under Galiblatta cribrosa. RNAcentral describes it as "tRNA-Tyr". The record is from RNAcentral. Lineage: Eukaryota; Metazoa; Arthropoda; Insecta; Blattodea; Blaberidae.